This 907-nucleotide ribosomal RNA is filed under the name Leucoagaricus nivalis. Its description in RNAcentral is "partial large subunit ribosomal RNA". Lineage: Eukaryota; Fungi; Basidiomycota; Agaricomycetes; Agaricales; Agaricaceae. The record is from RNAcentral.
GAAAGAACUAACAAGGAUUCCCCUAGUAMCUGCGAGUGAAGCGGGAAAAGCUCAAAUUUAAAAUCUGGCAGUCUUUGGCUGUCCGAGUUGUAAUCUAGAGAAGUAAUGCCCGCGCUGGACCGUGUACAAGUCUCCUGGAAUGGAGCGUCAUAGAGGGUGAGAAUCCCGUCUCUGACACGGACUACCAGGGCUUUGUGGUAUGCUCUCAAAGAGUCGAGUUGUUUGGGAAUGCAGCUCAAAAUGGGUGGUAAAUUCCAUCUAAAGCUAAAUAUUGGCGAGAGACCGAUAGCGAACAAGUACCGUGAGGGAAAGAUGAAAAGAACUUUGGAAAGAGAGUUAAACAGUACGUGAAAUUGCUGAAAGGGAAACGCUUGAAGUCAGUCGCGUUGGCCGGGGAUCAGCCUUGCUUUUUGCUCGGUGUACUUCCUGGUUGACGGGUCAACAUCAAUUUUGACCGCUGGAAAAAGGCUUGGGGAAUGUGGCAGCUUCGGCUGUGUUAUAGCCUCUUGUUGCAUACAGCGGUUGGGAUUGAGGAACUCAGCACGCCGCAAGGCCGGGUUUCGACCACGUUCGUGCUUAGGAUGUUGGCAUAAUGGCUUUAAGCGACCCGUCUUGAAACACGGACCAAGGAGUCUAACAUGCCUGCGAGUGUUUGGGUGGUAAACCCAAGCGCGUAAUGAAAGUGAAAGUUGAGAUCCCUGUCGCGGGGAGCAUCGACGCCCGGACCAGAACUUUUGGGACGGAUCCGCGGUAGAGCAUGUAUGUUGGGACCCGAAAGAUGGUGAACUAUGCCUGAAUAGGGUGAAGCCAGAGGAAACUCUGGUGGAGGCUCGUAGCGAUUCUGACGUGCAAAUCGAUCGUCAAAUUUGGGUAUAGGGGCGAAAGACUAAUCGAACCUCUAUACUGU